AUGGCUGUCAAGAACUCCAAUGGCAUUGACAUAGCCAAUCUGAUGAAGCACUCGGCAGAGAACCGCGGGAUCAAGGGCUUCGACGGAGGCGACGCCGUCGACCCGAUCUCGCUGCUCACGGAAGAGUGUGACGUGCUCAUCCCGGCAGCUCUGGGAGGAGUCAUAAACAAUGUGAGAAGGCAGGCCGUCCCAACGUGCCGGUGGCGGAGGGCAGCACCGAGCCUCUCGAGGGACAAUGCUGAUGCCAUUAAAGCGAAGUACAUCAUCGAGGCUGCUAACCACCCAACAGACCCCGAGGCCGACGAGAGAAGGGUGUGCUGGUCCUAG
Molecule: ribosomal RNA, 327 nt
Filed under: Triticum aestivum (bread wheat)
Lineage: Eukaryota; Viridiplantae; Streptophyta; Magnoliopsida; Poales; Poaceae
Description: partial small subunit ribosomal RNA
Source: RNAcentral